This 650-nucleotide ribosomal RNA is filed under the name uncultured bacterium. RNAcentral's name for it is "bacterial SSU rRNA". It matches the Rfam family "Bacterial small subunit ribosomal RNA", at positions 143 to 807 of the family's 1533-position model. The record is from RNAcentral.
ACAACAGUUGGAAACGACUGCUAAUACCGCAUAAUGUAUCCGGGAGGCAUCUCCUGGAUACCAAAGGAGAAAUCCGCUGAUGGAUGGGCUCACGUCUGAUUAGCUAGUUGGUGAGGUAACGGCUCACCAAGGCUGCGAUCAGUAGCCGGACUGAGAGGUUGAACGGCCACAUUGGGACUGAGAUACGGCCCAGACUCCUACGGGAGGCAGCAGUGGGGAAUACUGGGCAAUGGGCGAAAGCCUGACCCAGCAACGCCGCGUGAAGGAAGAAGGCCUUCGGGUUGUAAACUUCUUUUAAGAGGGACGAAGAAGUGACGGUACCUCUUGAAUAAGCCACGGCUAACUACGUGCCAGCAGCCGCGGUAAUACGUAGGUGGCGAGCGUUAUCCGGAUUUACUGGGUGUAAAGGGCGCGUAGGCGGGAAUGCAAGUCAGAUGUGAAAUCCAAGGGCUCAACCCUUGAACUGCAUUUGAAACUGUAUUUCUUGAGUGUCGGAGAGGUUGACGGAAUUCCUAGUGUAGCGGUGAAAUGCGUAGAUAUUAGGAGGAACACCAGUGGCGAAGGCGGUCAACUGGACGAUAACUGACGCUGAGGCGCGAAAGCGUGGGGAGCAAACAGGAUUAGAUACCCUGGUAGUCCACGCCGUAAAC